GAUGAACGCUGGCGGCGUGCCUAAUACAUGCAAGUCGAGCGAACGGACGAGAAGCUUGCUUUUCUGAUGUUAGCGGCGGACGGGUGAGUAACACGUGGAUAACCUACCUAUAAGACUGGGAUAACUUCGGGAAACCGGAGCUAAUACCGGAUAAUAUUUUGAACCGCAUGGUUCAAAAGUGAAAGACGGUCUUGCUGUCACUUAUAGAUGGAUCCGCGCUGCAUUAGCUAGUUGGUAAGGUAACGGCUUACCAAGGCAACGAUGCAUAGCCGACCUGAGAGGGUGAUCGGCCACACUGGAACUGAGACACGGUCCAGACUCCUACGGGAGGCAGCAGUAGGGAAUCUUCCGCAAUGGGCGAAAGCCUGACGGAGCAACGCCGCGUGAGUGAUGAAGGUCUUCGGAUCGUAAAACUCUGUUAUUAGGGAAGAACAUAUGUGUAUGUAACUGUGCACAUCUUGACGGUACCUAAUCAGAAAGCCACGGCUAACUACGUG
This 497-nucleotide ribosomal RNA is filed under the name uncultured bacterium. Its description in RNAcentral is "partial 16S ribosomal RNA". It matches the Rfam family "Bacterial small subunit ribosomal RNA", at positions 28 to 507 of the family's 1533-position model. The record is from RNAcentral.